Molecule: ribosomal RNA, 253 nt
Filed under: uncultured bacterium
Lineage: Bacteria
Description: partial 16S ribosomal RNA
Rfam family: Archaeal small subunit ribosomal RNA
Source: RNAcentral
UACCAGCACCCCGAGUAGUCGGGACGUUUAUUGGGCCUAAAGCAUCCGUAGCCGGUUCUACAAGUCUUCCGUUAAAUCCACCUGCUUAACAGAUGGGCUGCGGAAGAUACUAUGGAGCUAGGAGGCGGGAGAGGCAAGCGGUACUCGAUGGGUAGGGGUAAAAUCCGUUGAUCCAUUGAAGACCACCAGUGGCGAAGGCGGCUUGCCAGAACGCGCUCGACGGUGAGGGAUGAAAGCUGGGGGAGCAAACCGG